CCUGUUCGUACUAUACUAUGUGGUUUGGUUUGUUCAGACGCUUAUUGGAUUGAUUUGUUUGGAGGUUAGAGAUUCCUCGAAAAUCUCUGCAAUAAUAAGUGAAGUGUUGUGGCUUAUCUCUUCAGUUCUUGAUCUUCUUGAAAGUUCCAGUUUUGCUCAUUCUUUGUGGUUCUUGUUAAUUGUUCUUUCCGUUAUCUUACUGUGUGAGAUUAAGGAGUACCAUUACACAUUAUAUUUCCGUUGAGAGGAAUUGCUAUAUGUGUCGUUCUCCAAACCCAGUCUGGAGAACACUAGCAAGUUUUGGAAGAGGAGCCCCUGAAUCUACAGUGGCGUCUAGGCAUUCCAACCCACUUUCCCUACAGUUUUGUGUAGGGCAAGACAACCACCUGUUUGAGAUAUAAUCAUCAGGUCUCGUUAUUUGAGGAGAGUCUCUCUCUCUCUCUCUCUCUCUCUCUCUCUCUCUCUCUCUCUCUCUCUCUCUCAGGAGCACCUUUGGUCGAAGAAGCAGGAGUAGACAUUUUCUAAUCUAAUCAAAUCACUACUCCCAACACUAAAAACACACAGCCUUUUCUGCAUUAUGCAAGCUAUGCACACAGAGCUUCUUCAUCAUUUGACUAAUGAACAGAGCCACACAAACUAUCUGUGGCACAGUCCCUAGCAUGAGUUGUCCCAAGUGCAAGUUUUUUAGAAGUUGCAAUGACGAAUUAUACUUCCAUUCAAACUUCAAAGUGUCUGCAAAGCUGAUUUCCUAUAGAUUUAAUGCCAGCCUUUUGCUGUAGCUUUGUAAUCUGGAAAUUCAAUCUGUUACAACAAGCAUUUUGCUUUAAAGUUUUUAUUCUGUAGAACUUCAUUUGUAAUCCUUUCUUCUGCAGAGUGUUAAGGCCAAGUUCUUCCAAUUUCA
Molecule: long non-coding RNA, 901 nt
Organism: Juglans microcarpa x Juglans regia
Lineage: Eukaryota; Viridiplantae; Streptophyta; Magnoliopsida; Fagales; Juglandaceae
Exons: 2
Source: RefSeq, a predicted model, not a curated record